GAUGAACGCUGGCGGCGUGCUUAACACAUGCAAGUCGAACGGUGAAGCAGGAGCUUGCUCUUGCGGAUCAGUGGCGAACGGGUGAGUAACACGUGAGCAACCUGCCCCUGACUCUGGGAUAAGCGCUGGAAACGGCGUCUAAUACUGGAUAUGUGAUGUGACCGCAUGGUCUGCAUCUGGAAAGAAUUUCGGUUGGGGAUGGGCUCGCGGCCUAUCAGCUUGUUGGUGAGGUAAUGGCUCACCAAGGCGUCGACGGGUAGCCGGCCUGAGAGGGUGACCGGCCACACUGGGACUGAGACACGGCCCAGACUCCUACGGGAGGCAGCAGUGGGGAAUAUUGCACAAUGGGCGGAAGCCUGAUGCAGCAACGCCGCGUGAGGGAUGACGGCCUUCGGGUUGUAAACUUCUUUUAGCAGGGAAGAAGCGAAAGUGACGGUACCCGCAGAAAAAGCACCGGCUAACUACGUGCCAGCAGCCGCGGUAA
Molecule: ribosomal RNA, 484 nt
Filed under: uncultured bacterium
Lineage: Bacteria
Description: partial 16S ribosomal RNA
Rfam family: Bacterial small subunit ribosomal RNA
Source: RNAcentral